AAUGAACGCUGGCGGCAUGCCUUACACAUGCAAGUCGAACGGCAGCAUGACCUAUCUUUCUAGGUUGAUGGCGAGUGGCGAACGGGUGAGUCAUGCAUCGCAACGUCCCUUCUAGUGGGGGAUAUCGUAGCGCAAGUUACGCUAAUACCUCAUAUCCCCUGCGGCGUAAAGCAGGGUGCCUUCGGUCCUUGCGUUAGAAGAGCCUCCGAUGUUGGAGUGGCUAGUUGGUGAGGUUAAGGCUCACCAAGGCAACGAUCCGUCGCGGGUCUGAGAGGAUGAUAGGCCACACGGGGGCGGAGACAGGGCCAAGGCUACUAAGGGAGGCAGCAGUGGGAAAUGUUGGACAGUGGGCGGGAGCCUGAUCCAGCCAGGGCGAGUGAGUGAAGAAGGCCUUCGGGUUGUGAAGCUCUUUCGGCGGGGAAGAAAUGGCACUCUCUAAGACGGGGUGUGGGUGACGGUACCAGCAUAAGAAGCACCGGCUAACUACGUG
RNAcentral lists this ribosomal RNA (490 nucleotides) under uncultured bacterium. Its description in RNAcentral is "partial 16S ribosomal RNA". It matches the Rfam family "Bacterial small subunit ribosomal RNA", at positions 29 to 507 of the family's 1533-position model. The record is from RNAcentral.